UGAGGUAAUGUGUUAAAGUAUGAGUUGC
RNAcentral lists this non-coding RNA (28 nucleotides) under Homo sapiens (human). The record is from RNAcentral. Lineage: Eukaryota; Metazoa; Chordata; Mammalia; Primates; Hominidae.